ACAAUUAAGAGUUUGAUCCUGGCUCUGAGUGAAUGCUAGCGGUGUGCCUUACACAUGCAAGUCGUACGUAAUUUUUAUUUCGUGGCGUAUCGGUGAGUAAUGUACAAAUUGUGUAUGUUAAGUUUAGCUAAUACUAAAUGCUUUAACUUACUCAAGUUAUUAAAGAUUUUUCGCUUAAUAGACAUUUUUGUAUAGGAUUAGGUAGUUGGUAAUGGCUUUAGCUUACCAAGCCUACGAUCCUUAGCUGGUCUUGGAGGAUUAUCAGCCACAGCGGGACGGUUACAUCCCGAACUUUUUGGCAGCAGUGAGGAAUAUUGGACAAUGGGCGAAAGCUUGAUCCAGCAAUGCCGCGUGGGUGAGGAAGGCUUAGAUUGUAAAAUCCUUUCGUCGAAGAUGAUAAUGACAGUAUUCGAAAAAGAAGCCCCGGCUAACUUCGUGCCAGCAGCCGCGGUAAAACGGAGGGGGCUAGUGUUACUCAACUUGACUGGGCGUAAAGGGCGUGAAGGUGGUAUAGUACGUUUUUUUGUAAAUACUCGAACAUAAUUCGAGGAACAUUAAAAUACGAUUAUGCUAGAGUUUAUUUGAAGAAAGUUGUACCUCUAGUGUAGAGGUGAAAUUUGCAAAAAUUAGAGGGACAGUCUACGGGCGAAAGCGACUUUCUAGAAUAAACUGACACUAUAGCGCAAAAGCAUAGGUAGCAAACGGGAUUAGAGACCCCGGUAGUCUAUGCAGUGACCGAUGAAUACUAAAUGCUCUUGACCGUAAGAGAGUAUUUAAGCUAACGCGCAAGUAUUCCGCCUGGGAACUACAACCGCAAGGUUCAAACUUAAAGGAAUUGACGGAGGGCUAUUUCAGCGGUGGAGCAUGUGGUUUAAUCCGAUAUACCGCGUAAAACCUUACCAGCUCUUGAUAAGCAGACUUAUUCUUUCUUAAUAGGGGGAAAAUUCAUUUUUUUGAGUGUUAGUCUGCACAGGUGUUGCAUGGCUGUCGUCAGCUCGUGUUUUGAGAUGUUAGGUUAACUCCUUUAACGGGCGCAACCCCUUAACUUAUUCGUAAGUUUACUGCUUAGGAAAUCUAAGAGGAAGGCAGGGAUGAUGUCAAGUCGUUAUGACCUUUAUGGGCUGGGCUACUCACGUGCUACAAUGGUGCGUACAAAGGGAAGCAAAAAUGUAAAUUUUAGCAAUGCCCAAAAAACGUAUCUCAGUUCAGAUUGUACCCUGAAAAUUGGGUACAUGAAGUUGGAAUCGCUAGUAAUCGUAUAUCAGAAUGGUACGGUGAAUAUCCCCUCAGCCCUAGUACACACCGCCCGUCACGCGCUGGAAAUUAGUUUUGGUUGACAUAAGUAGAGGAUUAUAAUUCUUGAAUCUACUUCAUUAGUUUCUAUUACUAGCGGGUAUUAAUAGAUUAAAAUUACUGCUUAUAACAUUAAAGCUAAGGACUGGUGCGAAGUCGUAACAGGGUAGUCGUAGGGGAACCUGCGGCUGGACCAAUUUUUUU
This 1497-nucleotide ribosomal RNA is filed under the name Vermamoeba vermiformis. RNAcentral's name for it is "SSU rRNA". It matches the Rfam family "Bacterial small subunit ribosomal RNA". The record is from RNAcentral. Lineage: Eukaryota; Tubulinea; Echinamoebida; Vermamoebidae.